CCAGGAAUCUGGCCAAUGACAGUUGUGCGCGCCUUCUACCGAACAAAUUUGAAGAUACACAUCAGUUCCGUUGCUGCUGCUCGGUGUAACUGCAGUCCUGCUUCACUCGCUGCACUAGUAAUGGCUUUUACAUGGAUUAUCACACAUCUGACAGAUUAAUUCUUUUUGAGUUCGACUGAGAACGAAAACGUGCGAAUAUGAACACAGACACUUAACGUGACCAAUGGCCGAUGGACACAUUGCAAACGGCAGAAGUUUAACAGAGAGGACAUGAAACCAUCAUUCUUGGACUCUGAAGAAUACUAUGCAAAUCAUGCUUUUGGAUCUACUGUGAAGUUUUUGUAUAAAGCUGAGGUUUUGGGAUUGAAAAUUUGCCACAUGAUUUCCCGUAAAAAAGAAAGUCAGUUAUACAGGUUGGAGAGACAUGG
Long non-coding RNA from Labeo rohita (rohu), 428 nucleotides. RefSeq lists it as uncharacterized. The record is from RefSeq and is a predicted model, not a curated record. Lineage: Eukaryota; Metazoa; Chordata; Actinopteri; Cypriniformes; Cyprinidae. The transcript has 4 exons.